Molecule: ribosomal RNA, 813 nt
Filed under: Pediococcus pentosaceus
Lineage: Bacteria; Bacillati; Bacillota; Bacilli; Lactobacillales; Lactobacillaceae
Description: bacterial SSU rRNA
Rfam family: Bacterial small subunit ribosomal RNA
Source: RNAcentral
AUGACGUACUUGUACUGAUUGAGAUUUUAACACGAAGUGAGUGGCGAACGGGUGAGUAACACGUGGGUAACCUGCCCAGAAGUAGGGGAUAACACCUGGAAACAGAUGCUAAUACCGUAUAACAGAGAAAACCGCAUGGUUUUCUUUUAAAAGAUGGCUCUGCUAUCACUUCUGGAUGGACCCGCGGCGUAUUAGCUAGUUGGUGAGGUAAAGGCUCACCAAGGCAGUGAUACGUAGCCGACCUGAGAGGGUAAUCGGCCACAUUGGGACUGAGACACGGCCCAGACUCCUACGGGAGGCAGCAGUAGGGAAUCUUCCACAAUGGACGCAAGUCUGAUGGAGCAACGCCGCGUGAGUGAAGAAGGGUUUCGGCUCGUAAAGCUCUGUUGUUAAAGAAGAACGUGGGUAAGAGUAACUGUUUACCCAGUGACGGUAUUUAACCAGAAAGCCACGGCUAACUACGUGCCAGCAGCCGCGGUAAUACGUAGGUGGCAAGCGUUAUCCGGAUUUAUUGGGCGUAAAGCGAGCGCAGGCGGUCUUUUAAGUCUAAUGUGAAAGCCUUCGGCUCAACCGAAGAAGUGCAUUGGAAACUGGGAGACUUGAGUGCAGAAGAGGACAGUGGAACUCCAUGUGUAGCGGUGAAAUGCGUAGAUAUAUGGAAGAACACCAGUGGCGAAAGGCGGCUGUCUGGUCUGCAACUGACGCUGAGGCUCGAAAGCAUGGGUAGCGAACAGGAUUAGAUACCCUGGUAGUCCAUGCCGUAAACGAUGAUUACUAAGUGUUGGGAGGGGUUUCCGCCCCUUUCAGUGCUGC